Molecule: long non-coding RNA, 544 nt
Filed under: Brassica rapa (field mustard)
Lineage: Eukaryota; Viridiplantae; Streptophyta; Magnoliopsida; Brassicales; Brassicaceae
Description: long non-coding RNA (BRAP_LNC004032)
Source: RNAcentral
GAGGCGCUUCCAGGUGACAACGUCGGGUUCAACGUGAAGAAUGUUGCUGUCAAGGAUCUCAAGCGUGGGUAUGUUGCAUCCAACUCCAAGGAUGAUCCUGCCAAGGGUGCUGCUAACUUCACCUCCCAGGUUAUCAUCAUGAACCACCCUGGGCAGAUUGGUAACGGUUACGCCCCGGUUCUUGAUUGCCACACGUCCCACAUUGCGGUGAAGUUCUCUGAGAUCCUCACCAAGAUCGACAGGCGUUCUGGUAAGGAGAUUGAGAAGGAGCCCAAGUUUUUGAAGAAUGGUGAUGCUGGUAUGGUGAAGAUGACUCCGACCAAGCCCAUGGUUGUUGAGACCUUCUCUGAGUACCCACCACUUGGACGUUUCGCUGUGAGGGACAUGAGGCAGACUGUUGCAGUCGGUGUCAUCAAGAGCGUGGACAAGAAGGAUCCUACCGGAGCCAAGGUGACCAAGGCUGCCGUCAAGAAGGGUGCGAAGUAAAGUUCGGUCAUCAAGUCUCUAUCAUCCGCAGAUGAAUCCAAUUCCUAUUUUAGUUUUC